RNAcentral lists this ribosomal RNA (320 nucleotides) under uncultured Prevotella sp. RNAcentral's name for it is "partial 16S ribosomal RNA". Lineage: Bacteria; Pseudomonadati; Bacteroidota; Bacteroidia; Bacteroidales; Prevotellaceae. The record is from RNAcentral.
GGAGUUUGGACCGUGUCUCAGUUCCAAUGUGGGGGACCUUCCUCUCAGAACCCCUACUGAUCGAAGGCUCGGUGGGCCGUUACCCCGCCGACUACCUAAUCAGACGCAUCCCCAUCCCUCAGCGGUAAACCUUUGCUUCAUCUCAGAUGUCAUCAACGAAGAACAUAGGGUAUUAAUCCGCAUUUCUACGGGCUAUGCCCUACUAUGGGGAAGGUUGGAUACGCGUUACUCACCCGUGCGCCGGUCGCCAUCAAUCAAAGCAAGCUUCGAUUAUGCUGCCCCUCGACUUGCAUGUGUUAAGCCUGUAGCUAGCGUUCAUC